This 781-nucleotide ribosomal RNA is filed under the name uncultured Lactobacillus sp. Its description in RNAcentral is "bacterial SSU rRNA". It matches the Rfam family "Bacterial small subunit ribosomal RNA", at positions 28 to 776 of the family's 1533-position model. Lineage: Bacteria; Bacillati; Bacillota; Bacilli; Lactobacillales; Lactobacillaceae. The record is from RNAcentral.
GACGAACGCUGGCGGCGUGCCUAAUACAUGCAAGUCGAGCGAACAGAAGCAGCAGAAUUACUUCGGUAAGGACGCUGUGGAAGUUAGCGGCGGAUGGGUGAGUAACACGUGGGUAACCUACCCUUAAGACUGGGAUACCACUUGGAAACAGGUGCUAAUACCGGAUAGGAGUAUGAGCUGCAUGGCUUAUACUUUAAAGGCGGCGAAAGCUGUCACUAAAGGAUGGACCCGCGGUGCGUUAGCUAGUUGGUAAGGUAACGGCUUACCAAGGCGACGAUGCAUAGCCGAGUUGAGAGACUGAUCGGCCACAUUGGGACUGAGACACGGCCCAAACUCCUACGGGAGGCAGCAGUAGGGAAUCUUCCACAAUGGACGCAAGUCUGAUGGAGCAACGCCGCGUGAGUGAAGAAGGUUUUCGGAUCGUAAAGCUCUGUUGUUGGUGAAGAAGGAUAUAGGUAGUAACUGGCCUAUAUUUGACGGUAAUCAACCAGAAAGUCACGGCUAACUACGUGCCAGCAGCCGCGGUAAUACGUAGGUGGCAAGCGUUGUCCGGAUUUAUUGGGCGUAAAGCGAGCGCAGGCGGAGAAAUAAGUCUGAUGUGAAAGCCCACGGCUCAACCGUGGAACUGCAUCGGAAACUGUUUUUCUUGAGUGCAGAAGAGGAGAGUGGAACUCCAUGUGUAGCGGUGGAAUGCAUAGAUAUAUGGAAGAACACCAGUGGCGAAGGCGGCUCUCUGGUCUGCAACUGACGCUGAGGCUCGAAAGCAUGGGUAGCGAACAGG